AUUGAACGCUGGCGGCAUGCUUUACACAUGCAAGUCGAACGGUAACAGGGUGCUUGCACCGCUGACGAGUGGCGAACGGGUGAGUAAUGCGUCGGAACGUGCCGAGUAGUGGGGGAUAACGCAGCGAAAGUUGUGCUAAUACCGCAUACGUACUGAGGUAGAAAGUGGGGGACCUUCGGGCCUCACGCUAUUCGAGCGGCCGACGUCUGAUUAGCUAGUAGGUGAGGUAAAGGCUCACCUAGGCGACGAUCAGUAGCGGGUCUGAGAGGAUGGUCGGCCACACUGGGACUGAGACACGGCCCAGACUCCUAAGGGAGGCUGCAGUGGGGAAUUUUGGACAAUGGGCGAAAGCCUGAUCCAGCCAUGCCGCGUGUCUGAAGAAGGCCUUCGGGUUGUAAAGGACUUUUGUCAGGGAGGAAAUCCCUAGUGCUAAUAACACUGGGGGAUGACAGUACCUGAAGAAUAAGCACCGGCUAACUACGUGCCAGCCGCCGCUGUAA
Molecule: ribosomal RNA, 500 nt
Filed under: uncultured bacterium
Lineage: Bacteria
Description: partial 16S ribosomal RNA
Rfam family: Bacterial small subunit ribosomal RNA
Source: RNAcentral